CAACAUGUAGCUUAACUAAAGCAUCUCGCUUACACCGAGAAAAUAUCUGUUGAACCCAGAUCAUUUUGA
This 69-nucleotide transfer RNA is filed under the name Dendropsophus robertmertensi (Mertens' yellow treefrog). RNAcentral's name for it is "tRNA-Val". It matches the Rfam family "tRNA". Rfam says of the family: Transfer RNA (tRNA) molecules are approximately 80 nucleotides in length. Their secondary structure includes four short double-helical elements and three loops (D, anti-codon, and T loops). Lineage: Eukaryota; Metazoa; Chordata; Amphibia; Anura; Hylidae. The record is from RNAcentral.